CAGCCACCAGACACCUGCAUCUACCAACAGGACCGGGAACAGAAAGAGACAGAGGGGGCGAAUUUUGAAAGUCUCAAAGCCGACACCACCCGGGCUGGCUACCUGGAAGGUAAGUUCCGGAAACGUGCCAUGGGUGUGGGGAGCAGGUAGGAAUCUUAGUUUUAAUGCGUGUGUGUGUGUGUGUGUGUGUGUGUGUGUGUGCAAGCGCGCGCGCGCGCGCCUGCGCGUGUGCCCGCCCCCGUUUGCCAUUCUAAAGCUACCCAGAACCGGAGGGAAAGAAAUGAGGGGAUUCCUAAGAGUCAGAAGAACAGAGACCGAGGGGUGUGAAAGAAGCCAGGGAGGAAAAGGUGGAAGCGAGGCAAGUUUUCUGCUGCGCCGAGGUCGAGGACAGCUCUCCGCCCACCGCGGGAGGGAAUCGCCCCGCGCUUCAGCACCGGGGCUCCGGACAGCGCCCCCAGUCCCCGCACCGGUGCCAUUCGACUCAGGACCCUGGACAGCGCCCCUGGUGAAGGCUCGGCCUUCCUCCCUGAUUUGGUGGUAGAGGGUGCAAGGGAGAGGUUGCGCUGAAUUGCCUGAUGUUUCUGAAGAUUCGCUUCCUCUCUUAAGGGGUUUUAAAAAUGAAUUAUUUUCCAGAGAAGGAGGUGAUAUCCUGAAGUCUGCGAUUGCUAACAGGUAAAAAGGCCAGUUGGGGGAACCGGUGCCUGCCAAGUGGACGUUACUGUGUCCUUUCCAGACUUCAGUGAGAAGCCCUGUGCCAAGCGUUUCAUGCACAUUACACCGUGCUGUCCCCAACUCUGUGACAUGGGCUCACUACACUGGGAUGACAGUUGAAGGAGCUGGGGAUCUCCCAAGGGCUCUCGGCCCAAGAAGAACUUGUAACAGCUCCACAUCCGUCCACCACCAAGUCCCAAAUUUCUGAUGUGCCUUGGUGGGAGCUGACUCCUUGGGGGUCUCACCGUGCCUCUCUCCAGUGGCACCAAGAACGGGAAACAGGAAGCAAUGCAGAGACAGGACGUCCAUACAUCCAGCUGGGCUCAGACGCCCCCACAGGACAAGUGUGCAUUGUCCAUUCGCACCCCCUGUGACUCCUGAGUCCAGUCACUGACACCGCAUGGAAUUCUCGCAGCAUCCAGGCCUUCGUCUUGCUGUCAUCUCGGCUAGGAAGGAACUGUCCCCUCCCUCCCAGAGCUCCACAGGGCAGUCUCUGCCCUGGUGCCCCUUCAGCCCCAGGGUCAAGUGUGUUUCUUUACAUUCCCACAGACCUGGGACAUCAGGGCUCUGGUGUGAAUUCCUGUCAUGCUCGUGGAUCUGGUCCCCAUUACUCUGUGAGCUCCCUGCUCUGUCCCCAGUGCCCAGCCUGAGGCCUGGCACCCAGCAGGUGCUCAAUAUAUGCUUGUUGAAUCAAUAAAGGCAUCCAGGACUAAACCAAUAUGCCAAUCAAU
Molecule: long non-coding RNA, 1442 nt
Organism: Heterocephalus glaber (naked mole-rat)
Lineage: Eukaryota; Metazoa; Chordata; Mammalia; Rodentia; Bathyergidae
Source: RefSeq, a predicted model, not a curated record